GUUUACAUAGUUUAUUAAUAAAACAUUACACUUUCACUGUAAAGAUAAAGGAUAUUUUGUAAAUA
This 65-nucleotide transfer RNA is filed under the name Glyptotermes sp. B TB-2014. RNAcentral's name for it is "tRNA-Glu". It matches the Rfam family "tRNA". Rfam says of the family: Transfer RNA (tRNA) molecules are approximately 80 nucleotides in length. Their secondary structure includes four short double-helical elements and three loops (D, anti-codon, and T loops). Further hydrogen bonds mediate the characteristic L-shaped molecular structure. tRNAs have two regions of fundamental functional importance: the anti-codon, which is responsible for specific mRNA codon recognition, and the 3' end, to which the tRNAs corresponding amino acid is attached (by aminoacyl-tRNA synthetases). tRNAs cope with the degeneracy of the genetic code in two manners: having more than one tRNA (with a specific anti-codon) for a particular amino acid; and 'wobble' base-pairing, i.e. permitting non-standard base-pairing at the 3rd anti-codon position. The record is from RNAcentral. Lineage: Eukaryota; Metazoa; Arthropoda; Insecta; Blattodea; Kalotermitidae.